UUGGUGAUGAACAGCAGUAUGGAAGUGUA
This 29-nucleotide non-coding RNA is filed under the name Mus musculus (house mouse). Lineage: Eukaryota; Metazoa; Chordata; Mammalia; Rodentia; Muridae. The record is from RNAcentral.